ACGGGACCCGCGACAAGCAGCGGAGCAUGUGGUUUAAUUCGAAGCAACGCGAAGAACCUUACCAGAUCUUGACAUCCAAUUGACCAUCUUUUAAUCGAGAUUUUGCCUUCGGGUACAAUUGAGACAGGUGGUGCAUGGUUGUCGUCAGCUCGUGUCGUGAGAUGUUGGGUUAAGUCCCGCAACGAGCGCAACCCUUGUGUUUAGUUGCAAACAGGUCAAGCUGUGCACUCUAGACAGACUGCCGUGGACAACACGGAGGAAGGUGGGGAUGACGUCAAAUCAUCAUGCCCCUUAUGAUCUGGGCUACACACGUGCUACAAUGGCCGGUACAACGGGCAGCGAAGGAGCGAUCCGGAGCGAAUCCUAAAAAGCCGGUCCCAGUUCGGAUUGAAGUCUGCAACUCGACUUCAUGAAGCUGGAAUCGCUAGUAAUCGCAGAUCAGCCAAGCUGCGGUGAAUACGUUCCCGGGCCUU
Molecule: ribosomal RNA, 473 nt
Filed under: uncultured Fusibacter sp.
Lineage: Bacteria; Bacillati; Bacillota; Clostridia; Eubacteriales; Fusibacteraceae
Description: bacterial SSU rRNA
Rfam family: Bacterial small subunit ribosomal RNA
Source: RNAcentral